Molecule: long non-coding RNA, 394 nt
Filed under: Phoenix dactylifera (date palm)
Lineage: Eukaryota; Viridiplantae; Streptophyta; Magnoliopsida; Arecales; Arecaceae
Description: long non-coding RNA (PDAC_LNC000688)
Source: RNAcentral
UGUAUUUGUUUGGAGGUAUUGUCACAUAAGUGGAAUUACAUUUCCAUCUGAUAGUUUGUAAUUGCACGGGAUGAUUUUGGCCUCCGAGGCGAAAAAAAUGCCCUCCAAUUGAGACGAGCGGCGGGAGAAAGAGCUAGACAUGUUCAGUCAAAUGGACGGUUCGAUAUCUCCGACAAGUAUAUAAGACCCCUGUCCAAGGUCAUAUUGCUAUGUAGCGGUCCCAGGUGCAGCCUUGGAUUGGCUUCCACCCUUCAUGUCCAUUAAAGGGUUAGCAACAUUGGCAGGACCAUCUGAUUGUGGUCCAUCAAUACCAUGGGAUUGUACACCUGAACAGCCCUGGAUGUCUGUCUACAAACGAGCCAAGCUUCUCAUCUUUUCAUAUACAUCUAGGGCU